This 421-nucleotide ribosomal RNA is filed under the name uncultured bacterium. Its description in RNAcentral is "bacterial SSU rRNA". It matches the Rfam family "Bacterial small subunit ribosomal RNA", at positions 28 to 444 of the family's 1533-position model. The record is from RNAcentral.
GACGAACGCUGGCGGCGCGCCUAACACAUGCAAGUCGAACGAGAGAGAGGGAGCUUGCUUCUUCAAUCGAGUGGCGAACGGGUGAGUAACGCGUGAGUAACCUGCCCUAGAGUGGGGGACAACAGUUGGAAACGACUGCUAAUACCGCAUAAGCCCACGGUACCGCAUGGUACUGAGGGAAAAGGAUUUAUUCGCUUUAGGACGGACUCGCGUCCAAUUAGCUAGUUGGUGAGGUAACGGCCCACCAAGGCGACGAUUGGUAGCCGGACUGAGAGGUUGAACGGCCACAUUGGGACUGAGACACGGCCCAGACUCCUACGGGAGGCAGCAGUGGGGGAUAUUGCACAAUGGGGGAAACCCUGAUGCAGCGACGCCGCGUGGAGGAAGAAGGUUUUCGGAUUGUAAACUCCUGUCGUUAGGG